UACAGAGGGUGCAAGCGUUAAUCGGAAUUACUGGGCGUAAAGCGUGCGCAGGCGGUUCGUUGUGUCGGUGGUGAAAUCCCCGGGCUUAACCUGGGAAUGGCCAUGGAAACUGGCGAACUGGAGUGCGGCAGAGGGGGGUGGAAUUCCGCGUGUAGCAGUGAAAUGCGUAGAGAUGCGGAGGAACACCGAUGGCGAAGGCAGCCCCCUGGGCUAGCACUGACGCUCAGGCACAAAAGCGUGGGGAGCAAACAGG
RNAcentral lists this ribosomal RNA (253 nucleotides) under uncultured bacterium. RNAcentral's name for it is "partial 16S ribosomal RNA". It matches the Rfam family "Bacterial small subunit ribosomal RNA", at positions 524 to 776 of the family's 1533-position model. The record is from RNAcentral.